CUGGGAUUAGAUACCCCACUAUGCUUAGCCCUAAACACAAAUAAUUGCAUAAACAAAAUUAUUCGCCAGAGUACUACCGGCAACAGCCUAAAACUCAAAGGACUUGGCGGUGCUUUAUACCCUUCUAGAGGAGCCUGUUCUAUAAUCGAUAAACCCCGAUAAACCUCACCAGUCCUUGCUAAUACAGUCUAUAUACCGCCAUCUUCAGCAAACCCUAAAAAGGAAUAAAAGUAAGCACAAUUAUAAGACAUAAAAACGUUAGGACAAGGUGUAACCUAUGGAGUGGGAAGAAAUGGGCUACAUUUUCUACCUUAAGAAAACUUACACGAAAGUCACUAUGAAACUAGUAACCAAAGGAGGAUUUAGUAGUAAACUAAGAAUAGAGUGCUUAGUUGAAUUAGGCCAUGAAGCACGCACACACCGCCCGUCACCCUCCUCAAAUGACUAACAAUACACUUAAAUCUAUUUAAAUCUACCAACCACAUGAGAGGAGACAAGUCGUAACAAGGUAAGCAUACUG
RNAcentral lists this ribosomal RNA (520 nucleotides) under Saiga tatarica. RNAcentral's name for it is "partial 12S ribosomal RNA". It matches the Rfam family "Bacterial small subunit ribosomal RNA", at positions 772 to 1507 of the family's 1533-position model. The record is from RNAcentral. Lineage: Eukaryota; Metazoa; Chordata; Mammalia; Artiodactyla; Bovidae.